This 429-nucleotide ribosomal RNA is filed under the name Acidobacteriota bacterium. RNAcentral describes it as "Acidobacteria bacterium partial 16S ribosomal RNA". It matches the Rfam family "Bacterial small subunit ribosomal RNA", at positions 355 to 776 of the family's 1533-position model. The record is from RNAcentral. Lineage: Bacteria; Pseudomonadati; Acidobacteriota.
UGGGGAAUUUUGGACAAUGGGGGAAACCCUGAUCCAGCCAUCCCGCGUGUUCGAUGAAGGCCUUCGGGUUGUAAAGCACUUUUGGCAGGAAAGAAACGUCAUGGGUUAAUACCCCGUGAAACUGACGGUACCUGCAGAAUAAGCACCGGCUAACUACGUGCCAGCAGCCGCGGUAAUACGUAGGGUGCAAGCGUUAAUCGGAAUUACUGGGCGUAAAGCGUGCGCAGGCGGUUCGGAAAGAAAGAUGUGAAAUCCCAGAGCUCAACUUUGGAACUGCAUUUUUAACUACCGGGCUAGAGUGUGUCAGAGGGAGGUGGAAUUCCGCAGGUAGCAGUGAAAUGCGUAGAUAUGCGGAGGAAAACCGAAGGCGAAGGCAGCCACCUGGGAUAACACUGACGCUCAUGCACGAAAGCGUGGGGAGCAAACAGG